CAGAAAAUGGCGUAAAAAGGUCAUAUAACUGGAUGAAUGACUGACCGGUCACUUCGUGAAUGCCAGUGAGUGUGUGAUUGGGUGACUGAAUAAGUGUUGACACGCACUCAAAGCAGCUCCCCAAUAUUAAGAGCCAUUCUCGACCGUAACUCACACGUGCUCCACAUAAAGAUACCAACAAGCAGAUACACAUAUGGUCUCAGAAAACAUUUUUCAAAUGAAGUGAAGCGCCGCAAGCAGAUGCUGCUUAAAGGUUUCCAAAAAUGAACAGUCGUGUUGUAAGAAACUGGAACAAAAAAAACUCUUCUAAGUCCCUCCACAAGCUAUGAUUAAAAACAAACCCUACCAAAAACCUCAAUUUAAAUUACCAACAUGCACUUCAUCCGCUUUUAUCAGUUUCCAUUUUGCUGAAUUGCGAUCCAAACAUAAAGAAGGAAACACUCAACACACCCAUUCGAAAUGCAUUUAACAAAAAAAAAGCAUACAACCUGGCUCGAAGUGAAUUUCAAUUUGCUUUUUCAUUUGUAUUGCAGUAGCAUCUUUGCUGGCAAUUCUUGCCUCAGCUGCAUACAUAUCGAGCUUAAACCGCAUUUCGUUUGCCAAAUGUUACGACAGGGAACAAUUUUUGCAAUAGUUUGCAUACAAAUUUCUAUUCCACAGACCUGAGUUGCCUGAAGUGGCAGCUACGAAUUCUAGCUUACAUAUACUAUACUCUCAGAUGUAUUGGUACAAUUCGCACAAAUUAAUGUAAAAAUCGAAGGAAAUUUGAUUUGCAUUUGGCAAAAAUUUUAUCUCAUAAAUGCAGGCUGACUUCCAAAAAUUACAAUUCAAAAGCCUGCAGAAGUUACGAUUCUCGAAAUCAAUUUGAAUUUAAAUUUGAAACUGUCACGUCUAUGACAUAAGCUGGAUUUGAUAUCCAAAAGCCGUUUUUGAAAAUAAUUUAUAUUUUAAAAUAAAUUUAUAAGUUUCUAAGCAUCGAAACGUGUAGUAAUAAUUUAAAGUAUUUUCUGCUUACUAAGUCGAUAUCUAAUACUACUCAUUAAAAAGCACUAUAUUAUGGACUAAGACAUAAUCUUAUGACUAUUUUUUAAUUAAAAUGUUCUCCAUAAUAAGCCAUUGUAAUUGUAAUUGCAGUAAAUAACCCUGAACAUUUUUAAAAUAGCGAAUGAAUAACUGCAAUGCACUUGAAAAUCAGAUGAAUUGGAUUUUAUUACUUAGCAAACGUCUGACCACGGAAGCUCAGUUAAAGCUCGGUUGGCGCAUGCAAGCGCCACCAUCGUAACCGUCCACCAAAAAUCCACUCCGAAGAGAGACCGCAAACACUUUAAGACCCCGUCAACCGCAGAGACUCUACAAGCAGGAUGCUUUUGGAGAGUUGUCAAUUGCAGGACAUGUUAUAGCACCGGUUUCUGUGGUCAACGCCGAUUUGCCAGCUGUGGUAAUCGACACAUGAGCAAGUUUAUCGCACUGGCUGCGCAUUGUUUUCGUGCUUUCCAUCGUUCUCGACAAUUUGCGGCUGUCUUAAAGCAACGGUGGUCUGACUCCAACCAAAGUUUCAUCACAAAGUC
Drosophila albomicans is the source of this 1568-nucleotide long non-coding RNA. RefSeq lists it as uncharacterized. The record is from RefSeq and is a predicted model, not a curated record. Lineage: Eukaryota; Metazoa; Arthropoda; Insecta; Diptera; Drosophilidae. The transcript is spliced from 3 exons.